CCUACGGGAGGCAGCAGUGAGGAAUAUUGGUCAAUGGACGAGAGUCUGAACCAGCCAAGUAGCGUGAAGGAUGACUGCCCUAUGGGUUGUAAACUUCUUUUAUAAAGGAAUAAAACGAGGCACGUGUGCCUUUUUGCAUGUACUUUAUGAAUAAGGAUCGGCUAACUCCGUGCCAGCAGCCGCGGUAAUGCGGAGGAUCCGAGCGUUAUCCGGAUUUAUUUGGUUUAAAGGGAGCGUAGAUGGGUUGUUAAGUCAGUUGUGAAAGUUUGCGGCUCAACCGUAAAAUUGCAAUUGAUACUGGCAGUCUUGAGUACAGUUGAGGUAGGCGGAAUUCGUGGUGUAGCGGUGAAAUGCUUAGAUAUCACGAAGAACCCCGAUUGCGAAGGCAGCUUACUAAACUGUGACUGACAUUGAUGCUCGAAAGUGUGGGUAUCAAACAGGAUUAGAUACCCUUGUAGUC
RNAcentral lists this ribosomal RNA (460 nucleotides) under uncultured bacterium. RNAcentral's name for it is "partial 16S ribosomal RNA". It matches the Rfam family "Bacterial small subunit ribosomal RNA", at positions 338 to 795 of the family's 1533-position model. The record is from RNAcentral.